GGGGUUGUGGCUCAGUGGUAGAGCACUUGCCUCACUGGUAGAGCGCUUGCCUCACAAGUGUGAGGCACUGGGUUCGAGCCUCACUCAGCACCA
This 93-nucleotide transfer RNA is filed under the name Marmota monax (woodchuck). RNAcentral describes it as "tRNA.Val". Lineage: Eukaryota; Metazoa; Chordata; Mammalia; Rodentia; Sciuridae. The record is from RNAcentral.